Misgurnus anguillicaudatus (oriental weatherfish) is the source of this 2355-nucleotide non-coding RNA. The record is from RefSeq and is a predicted model, not a curated record. NCBI's taxonomy places the organism in Eukaryota, Metazoa, Chordata, Actinopteri, Cypriniformes, Cobitidae.
CAGAGAGUGUUUAUUCACAAGUAUUUUUUAAAAACCAAGAACUGUCCUUUAAUGUCAAACGGGUUAUGUAUUGCAAUGACUCAGUAGGAAGGCAGAUCUACUGAGGGGCGUGGUUAAUCUGAGAAGAAUAAAAAGGAUUAGAUAAUGUGUGUGUAAAUUUGGUCUGUUUGAAAGAAAAACAAGAGGCCACUUGGACACCAUAAGAGUCACUGAUGAUGGAAGAAGAAUCAUCAUUGAGUUCAGAGAGCAGUUCAGAAUCUGACUAUAGUGAGGAUGAAGGAAAGAAAGCAGAACAACGGAGAAAACGGAAAAUGACAACACAAAGAUAUUCUAGGCAGUCUAUAGAAAAACUGAUAGAAGAGACACCUCUGCUUCCUGUAACAUGUGGCGAUAAAGAAGGUUGCUUGUUUAUUGAGAAAUUUUAUAACAGAGAGAAAUGCAUCUUGAGCGAAGAUCAGUGGUUUAAGCCCAGUGAAUUUGAGAAGUUUGGAGGGAAGGAGAAGAGCAAAAAGUGGAAGACCACCAUCCUUUGCUGUGGCGUUCCACUCCAGAAUCUAAUAGAGGAUAAAUUUAUUUCAUGCCCAGACUUUAAGAAAAGUAGAAUUCAACAUGACGAGAGUGAAUCUCGUGAAAGGUCACCUGUCCCUGGCAGGCUCAGAAAAACAAAGAGAAACUCUUCUGAAUCCUCACGUGAUUCUGGCAUGCUCAGAAGAACAAAGGCUAGGAAAAAGCUGGUUUCCUCCAGCUCUGAAUCAGAAGAAAGAGACAGCGUCCACUAUGAGAACAACAUUGAUGAUGAUGAUGAAAUGAACAUUACCAUGUUUCAAGGUCCUACCCUACCUGUUACCUGUGGCUCUGUCACUGGCAUUCUACACAAAAAACGCUUUGCUAAAGGAUACUGUGGGAAAUGCAUAAGGACUGAGGAUUUAUGGCUGACACCUGAGGAUUUCCUUAGACUGGGCAAACCAGAUGGGAUAUGGAAGAAAGACAUUGUGGUUCAUGAAACAACGCUUGGAAAACUUAUCUUGAGAAGAGUUUUGGAACCUGAUGCUGUUAGCUGUGAUUGUGAUGUCUGUCAAGAACUCAAUCAAACCAAUGAUGACGAUUGUUACGUAUGUGCCUCUGAAGAAGAGGUUGUGUGCUGUGAUGAGUGUCCACGAGCUUUUCAUCCACACUGUCACCUACCAGCAGCUGUGGACAUCGACUCUGGAAGCCAAUGGACCUGUACAUUUUGUAUGAUGAGAAAAAUGGAGGAAUCGAAUCAAAGGACACGACAGGAAGUUUUAAACAGUCCACUUUUUCAGUACAAACUGCACUGCCAGUAUUUGUUGUUAUAUCUGCUGCACGAGUGGACUGCUGAGCCCUGCACCAAAGUUUUAGACAGUAAAGCAGAUGACAUCAAGCUAAAUUUACAGAAUGACAAUUACCAAACAGUGGAUGAGUUUGUCACAGAUAUUGAGCGCAUUUUUCAACACCGCACCUCAGAAGGGAAUAAUGACUUCAGCAGAAUGGAGCAUUUGUUUAAGGAGGAGUUUAAGACCAUCUUUAAACUUAUAUAACAUUAUGCCUUAAAUCACAUGACUGAUUUUAAAACUAAAAUACAGCUGUGAUGAAAUGAAAGAAAUGAGCGUUACAGUCAGGACCUUUGCCCACCCUGGCCACACACCACAGAACAAUUUAUACAAUUUAAACAAUAUUUUGACUGACAAAAGACUGCGAACCACGUAUUAAAGUGCAACGGGCCAGAUGCGGCCCACAGGUCACCUGUUGAGUACUUUGGUGAUUACUUUGUGAAGAAGAGAUGAGUUUCUACAACUUAUGAAAUGACAUCAUAAGUAAAUGAUCAUCCAGCCCCAACCAAAAAAUGGUAUCACUCCAGCUCACCAGAUGUCUUGUCCAUGAAAUCCUCCAUAUUCUCCUCCAGAGGCCGCCCUUCCUGGAAGAUGUUGAACCGCAGAAAGUCCUCCAAAGGAAUGAUGUUGUUGUUUGUAGUGAUGGGUAGGGGUGGGUGAAUCGAUCCUAAGGUAUUAAUAUUUCAGAUACUGAGGUUGUAUCGAAAAGGUAAUCCUAACAUAAAAAAAUCGAUACUAAUGUGAUUUUUAUUUUAUUUUAUUUAAUAAUUUUUGUUUUUUACUACUGUAGCUAAUAAUUGUGUAAUAUAAAAAGACGAUUUCCCACGCCUUGCUCCUCCCUGCUCUGCUGUGUUUCGUUGUCUUGUCAUCACGUGAUUCAGCUGCGCUGAAAUUUAUUUACGCACUUUAUUUACUUUUUCAAACAAUUGUUUGCACUUUGUUUAUACAUUCACUUAAAACAGUGUAAUGAAAGGUAAACAUUUUAAUUUGUUUUAUUAAUGUG